AUUGAACGCUGGCGGCAGGCCUAACACAUGCAAGUCGAGCGGAUGAAGGGAGCUUGCUCUUGGAUCCAGCGGCGGACGGGUGAGUAAUGCAUAGGAAUGUGCCUGGUAGUGGGGGAUAACGUCCGGAAACGGGGGUUAAUACCGCAUACGACCUGAGGGUGAAAGCGGGGGACCUUAGGACCUCACGCUAUCGGAUGAGCCUAGGUCGGAUUAGCUAGUUGGUGGGGUAAAGGCCUACCAAGGCGACGAUCCGUAACUGGUCUGAGAGGAGGAUCACUCAAACGGGACCUGAGAAAGGCCCCGGAUCCUUAGGGGAGGCACAGGUGGGAAAUAUGGGCCAUGGGGCGAAAGCCUGAUCCAGCCAGGCGGCGUGGGUGAAGAAGGGCUUCGGUUGGUAAAGCACUUUAAGUUGGGAGGAAGGGUAGUAAGUUAAUACCUGGCUGUUUGGACGUUACCAAAAGAAAAAGCACGGGCAAACCUCGU
This 483-nucleotide ribosomal RNA is filed under the name uncultured bacterium. RNAcentral describes it as "partial 16S ribosomal RNA". It matches the Rfam family "Bacterial small subunit ribosomal RNA", at positions 29 to 506 of the family's 1533-position model. The record is from RNAcentral.